GUGAGUUGCCGCCAACCGCCCUAACGGCCGAAACAAUGUUAAUGGCUUUCAGAGUCUGGCGGCGCGUUCCCAUUAUCAUCUUCCUGUGACCCUUCCUCAUUUUACACGGAGGAGGUGGUCUCCACAGUGAUUUUAAAUUUAAUAUUUCUCUCAUAACCUUUGUGAGAUAAAAGAAUCUUCAUCCUUUUAACUUUGACGAGGGAUGAAAUGAAGUUUUCCACAACAUUUGGGAAGAUUUACAAGGUAUACUCCAUUUAGGCAAAAAUAACUGUCAGGGAAUAGUCAUUGUCAAGAGCAGUUUGUAUUGCAACCCACAAAUUAUACCUCUAUGUCGGUCCAGAAAUCCUUCAAUUUACCAAGAGAUUAUGUUUGAAAAUCUUAGAAAAAAUAAACAAUCCUGAAAAACUAAGUAGGGCCAGAGAAAUGGACUACUCAGGAGCUACAGAGCUCUCUGAUUGGCUGAAGACCCAGAGAAACUGUGGAUUAUGCAAGAACUAACAAACAUAUGGAGACUAAGUUCCCAAAGAAGAGUUAAAUAUCUUUGAGUUUAAACCCUAUCUACAGCUGUGUUUGCUGGAAUUGUCAGGACUGUAAUAGAGUUUCAGUUACCAAGGAGAAAUGUUGAUUUAGAGAAGG
Molecule: long non-coding RNA, 636 nt
Filed under: Homo sapiens (human)
Lineage: Eukaryota; Metazoa; Chordata; Mammalia; Primates; Hominidae
Description: HSALNT0294768
Source: RNAcentral